Physella acuta is the source of this 391-nucleotide long non-coding RNA. RefSeq lists it as uncharacterized. NCBI's taxonomy places the organism in Eukaryota, Metazoa, Mollusca, Gastropoda, Physidae. The record is from RefSeq and is a predicted model, not a curated record.
AAGCCCCGCAAGCUGUCUGGUAUGAUUUGAAAGGUACAUAAUGGGAAGAUCUUCAACACUCAUGAACUGAUUACAGCGCGCAUUUCCGCACAAACCUGAUGAAAAUGAAGAUGAUAGUUGUUCUGGUAAUCCUGGCGAGUCUUGCAGUGCACUCGGACAGUUGCCCAUGCGUUAAAAGGAACCGUCGUUGUAAUUUGGGCAUCUGGGAACCACAGUGCUGUGAUUCCAUGACUUGUGUGCGACCAAAUGAAUGGGCAUUGUCUGGGAGAUGCGAUAAUGCUGAAUGACACUGUGGAGCCUAUGGAAAAAAGGGAACAAAACAGUACCUUAGCAAGCAAAUUGAACAGAAUAUUAUUAUAUAUUUACUCAAAAUGUUAAAAAAAUAAUAAUU